RNAcentral lists this long non-coding RNA (2333 nucleotides) under Orussus abietinus. RNAcentral describes it as "uncharacterized LOC105701407". Lineage: Eukaryota; Metazoa; Arthropoda; Insecta; Hymenoptera; Orussidae. The record is from RNAcentral.
GUGUCCGAAUGCAUACGUAAACGCUCAUGGAACGACAGCUCAUGGAAAUGUCAUUGAACGCGGAACGAGCGCUUCCUGGGGUGACAUAUUGUCUCUGAAAACACCAUAGGCGAAGAUUUAUGGAUUUUGAGACAGAACCCGCGUCCCGUCGAGUUAAUCGGGCCUGGUGUCAGUGCUUUCAUCCGACGCGGACGAAGGAAACUCGGAAUAUGACGAAAUAUAAAUGGAGGAUCGACAACACGUAAACGGCGAGCUGGGCAAACAAUUCUUGAUGGACGCGGAAGCGGAUGAACAGGGUUGGGGGCUGAUCUGAAGUUGCAGAAUUGCAUCGAGGGGACCAGAAGGAAUUUCGCGGAGUUUAACUGAAAAGGGAAGUAGAACGGACAUCCGAACGGCAGUCUGUUGGCGAGAGAGAGGGAGAGGAGGCGAAGGGUGGCGGAAAGGAGCGAGGGAGAGGUCGAAGGACGGAGGACCGAGUUUGUUGGAUUGAAUCCGCGAGAAGCCGUGUCAGGGUGUCAAUUCAAAGCGCGGUAAUCUCUGCUCAACGCAGCCAAUAAUCGGCUUAUUGAUUUCGAUUCGUGGGACACCUAAGGCCCCGUGCACACGGAAUCUCAUUUAGGAGCUUGCGUUCCUGGAGCCCUCGAACUGCCGGCAGAGUCUAUCGAGAACGUCCUCGAAAGCUGGGAGAUGGAUUACGAAUUUUUAGGGGACGUCAAAGGGACCGCCAGUCCAUCGAGAAUGUCCUGGCAAACGGGAAGCGGAUUACGGACUUCGAGAGGACGUCAAAGGGACCGCCAGGCGGGCGCCGAAAAUCCACCCGACGCGAUCAGCCGCAGCCUCGGAUUUUCCUCUCCCCGUUGACGCUGUCCAGCGUGGCAGUACACGUCGACUCGUUGCAGUGCAAAUGAUUUCCAAAUGAGCGAGCGGUUCGUUGUCGAAUCGGCCGGUAAUCGGGCCACGCUCUGUUUGACUUUUUGGGGCGGGUUGAGCGCGGCCGGGGGGUGUUAAAAGGAUGGCCGAUUUAAUGCGUCCCAAAGGCGCUUCCGCUCGAUCAGUCCUCGGAUAACUGACAAUUAUCGUCGUGGUCGGUCCGCGGAAUUUUCGCCCGUUUGGCAGCGAGCCUGCGUUUACCGCCGAGAGGGUGCAUGUUGGUUUUGCCCGAUGUGGACGGGGCUUAACGCGCGGUCGUCGCCGCUCGGGAUCCCGAAAACCCGCUAAAAGUGCCGGUUUUAACGUAAACCGGUUAUGUCGAAUCAAUGUCGAAUUUAAAGCUAAGCGACGAACGUCACGGCACUCGUCGAAGCGCCGUUUAACGCGCUCGUUAGACGUCGGGGACCAGGGUUGAAAGUACCCCUAGGAAAGACGGAUGCACCUGCUGUCUACAUCCUCGUUCAUACACUUUAUCCUUAUCUUCCGUGUCCAUUCGAGUCCCCAUCUAUCUUCAUCGGAGUUCUAUAUCCCUGCCUCUACCCACUUGCACUCUGGAUUCGGCCGUCCAUCGAUUUCUCCCGGAGAAGUUUGUCGGGCGCCCGUACGGUGCAUCGGUGCAUUGUUAAAAAUAGCCGGACCGAAUCCGACGCGGAAGCGACUGCCCCACCGGACGCGGAAAUCCGUCUUCGAGGCCCGCGAAGGCCAAACCGACACCUGCGAUCAAAUUCCCGGACUAAACCGAGCCUGCCCAAAUUUCUCAUGCCACGUUCUUUCACCUUCUCCCCGUCCAUCCGGAGUGCAUUUUCCUCGUCCGGAUUGUAUACCGCGUUACCUGUCGAUUUUCUCUUCCCGCGCCACAUAUUCAUAUCUCACCCCAAAAACUUAUAGCGAAAUAUACAUUUUGUAAAAUUCCGCUAAAUUUCAGCUUCCGAUUUUUUGCGCAGGAGUUACACGUCGAGUGGUAUAAAUAGGGAUUUUUUAUUGCAGCGCAAUUGUACUUAAAUUACAUAAAUGUCAGCUGAUCUCGUUUAGGGCCAUUUGCGCUCUGCCUACGUCUUUCCUGGUUAUGGGAGUCGUGGGGACCCGUGGAAAUUCUAGGGAAAUUCUAUCUUCGGCCAUCCUGCUCGCACUUCCAUCUAGUCCACCUUAUGCAGUGCCAGGUAGCCCCGUGCACGCGUGUGCGGCCACCCUCCUCGGCGUGAACGUGGGCGCUUUAUGGUGUUAUUCGAGCGACAAAUUGAACUAAAAAUAAUCCUUUACGCGGCACCCUAGGCCGUUCAUGCAUGCGAGAGGAGGUAGAGCGACUCUUUGAAGUGGCCGCGCCGGGGCGAAGUCGUACCCAUGCAUUAUGCACGUACCUUGCCCCGGCGUCCCGACGCCCUGGCCAUCCGUGACCUACGUGC